Small nuclear RNA from Sarcophilus harrisii (Tasmanian devil), 103 nucleotides. NCBI's taxonomy places the organism in Eukaryota, Metazoa, Chordata, Mammalia, Dasyuromorphia, Dasyuridae. The record is from Ensembl.
AUGUUCCCUUGGUAGUAGAUAUAUUAAAGUUAGAACGAGAUAGAGAUUAGCAUGGCCUCUAAACAAGAAUGACAAUCAAAUUCAUGAUUCAUUCCAUUUUUUU